CGGGCCUACCAUGCAAGUCGAGCGGAUGAAGGGAGCUUGCUCCUGGAUUCAGCGGUGGACGGGUGAGUAAUGCCUAGGAAUCUGCCUGGUAGUGGGGGAUCAUGUCCGGAAACGGGCGCUAAUACCGCAUACGUCCUGAGGGAGAAAGUGGGGGAUCUUCGGACCUCACGCUAUCAGAUGAGCCUAGGUCGGAUUAGCUAGUUGGUGGGGUAAAGGCCUACCAAGGCGACGAUCCGUAACUGGUCUGAGAGGAUGAUCAGUCACACUGGAACUGAGACACGGUCCAGACUCCUACGGGAGGCAGCAGUGGGGAAUAUUGGACAAUGGGCGAAAGCCUGAUCCAGCCAUGCCGCGUGUGUGAAGAAGGUCUUCGGAUUGUAAAGCACUUUAAGUUGGGAGGAAGGGCAGUAAGUUAAUACCUUGCUGUUUUGACGUUACCAACAGAAUAAGCACCGGCUAACUUCGUGCCAGCAGCCGCGGUAAUACGAAGGGUGCAAGCGUUAAUCGGAAUUACUGGGCGUAAAGCGCGCGUAGGUGGUUCAGCAAGUUGGAUGUGAAAUCCCCGGGCUCAACCUGGGAACUGCAUCCAAAACUACUGAGCUAGAGUACGGUAGAGGGUGGUGGAAUUUCCUGUGUAGCGGUGAAAUGCGUAGAUAUAGGAAGGAACACCAGUGGGGAAGGCGACCACCUGGACUGAUACUGACACUGAGGUGCGAAAGCGUGGGGAGCAAAGCAGGAUUAGAUCCCCUGGUAGUCCACGCCGUAACUUAUAAGGGCGAGC
RNAcentral lists this ribosomal RNA (781 nucleotides) under Pseudomonas aeruginosa. Its description in RNAcentral is "bacterial SSU rRNA". It matches the Rfam family "Bacterial small subunit ribosomal RNA", at positions 43 to 820 of the family's 1533-position model. The record is from RNAcentral. Lineage: Bacteria; Pseudomonadati; Pseudomonadota; Gammaproteobacteria; Pseudomonadales; Pseudomonadaceae.